Molecule: long non-coding RNA, 10126 nt
Filed under: Olea europaea (common olive)
Lineage: Eukaryota; Viridiplantae; Streptophyta; Magnoliopsida; Lamiales; Oleaceae
Description: long non-coding RNA (OEUR_LNC006220)
Source: RNAcentral
UUAAUUUGGUCACAAAUUGAUGAUUUAGUCCCCCACUUAUUAUUUUUUGAUCACAAAUCAAAAAUUUUAUAUCACAAAUUAUUUUACGGUCACAAUUCAAAAAUUUUAUAAGUCACAGUUUGUUCAUCGGUCACAAAUCGAAAAAUUUAUAAGUCGCGAUUUAUUUGUUGGUCACAAAUUAUAAAUAUUACAAGUCACAACUUAUUAUACAGUCACAAAUUAUCGGUCACAGAUUAACAAUUUUUUAGGUCACACAUUAUUUUUCGAUCGCAAUUUAUUUUUUUCAUUUGUCACAUAUUAUUUAUUGGUCACAGAUUAACCAAUUUAAUGGUCACAAUCAACCAAAUAAUUUAUGACCACCACCAAUACUAAUGAAAACCUCCGCAUUCGACACCACCACCACUGUUGCUGCCAGAUUAUUGCCACCACCUAAGAGCAACACUGAAAAACAAAUCGCCAAAACCACCAACACAGAUCCAUCGAACUGCAACCGCCAUCAACCAUUUGCGAUCCCCGUUGUGAUCUGUAACCCCCACCAUACCCGCAAUCGCCAUCAACCACUGCACCUGGCUAGAUCCACCAUCGCAGCCCACCGUCACAUACCACCUAUCGCUAGAGUCAUCGUCCAAUAGCCAUUAGCAAAAAAUAAAAAAUAAAAAAACCAUCGCAGCCGCCAUCAAUCACUGCACCUCACUGUCGUUGUCACCACCGCAGGUCCACCCUCAAACACCACCGAUCUCUAGAGCCACCAUCCAACAACCAAUUGCAAAAAAAAAAAAAAAAAAAAAAAAAAAAAAAAAGGGGGCUACUCACAGAAACGAGCUCCGCUUUGGUCUUCACGGACAGCAGCAGCAGCGGUCUGCUUUAUUUGGAAGGCGAUUGACGCUUCUUCUGGUGGGCGACGCUGUGAAUGGCUUCUGUGCAAAGGAGGAGAGAAGGUGAAGAGAUGAAUAACAUCGGCUACUGGGGAGGAUGAGCGAGAGAAGACGAAGAGAGAGAGAGAGAGAGAGAGAGAGAGAGAGAGAGUUAUAGGGUUUGGGAUAUAAAAUGUAUAUUUAACAUUAAUAUUUAAAUAUGCUAUAUUUGAUUUUUGAAAGAUUAAAGUUCCCAUAUGAUUUUAGAAUUCAUGAUUUUAAUGUUAGGAUUUUGUGUAAUUACCACUAUAUCUAAUCGAAUUCUUGGCCCACUUAACAAAAGAAAAGGGAAAAACACCAUUUGAAUAGUCCUUUUGGCCAAUGCAAAUCACUUUUUUGGUAAGUGUUUAUUUAUAAAUUUGUUGGGAAUUUAUUUAAUCAGGGGAAAUUAAACAAAAUUUUCAAUUCUCAUCAAAUAUCUUCUUUGUGCUUAAAUAGAAAUUAUGAUAGAAGGUUAUAUCUUUGUUGAAUUAUGCAAACUCAAUUAAUUAAUUGGUAAAUCUUGUUCUUCUAUGUUAUACAUGUGACAGAAAAUGUCACGUGGUAUGACAAAAAUUAAAUUUGUUCGUCUAUCGUGAAACUAUAAUCAUUUCAUCACUAUGAUCUGAUCAAUUACGAGAUAUGUAUAUGUGUCAAUCUUAAUAUCAAUGUUAUUUUUCAUUCCACUGUUGAGUCAAUAUAAGUCAAAAUUCCUUUUCGAUUUAUGAGUAUACUAGGAUCAAGGAUUUCGUUAUCGACUUAAUUGAAUGAAAUAUAGAUCAUAAUCUCUUAUUAUCUAAGAAUAACGAAUCCUCUAUUGAUCGUUAACAAUUUUCAUAUGAUUCUUGACAUAGCCGAACAAUGUCAUAUUGGCUGCCCUUGGCAGAGCAACAUUCAAUAUCACCAAAGUAUGUCUGUCUUCGUAUAAAGCAUUAUAAUGAUCUCUAAUCGAAGGACUAAUUCCACUCCUAAACGUUAGAGAUUAACCGCUGACAUUCAAGAUAUUUAUCUAUGUAGAAUAUCUCCAAUGGGACUCCAAUGUUUGUUCCAUAACAAAAUAUUCACGUGUUCGUUUAAGUAUCAUUACACUUUAGCAUGCGAGAUAAGCUAUUACAUGACAAGCAAGAAAUGCCACAAGUGAUGAUCUAUUUAUAGUAACGAUAUCCGUAUCUCGUUAUUACUUACAAUCACGGAUAAUUUAAUAUUCAUGUACUUCACAAUCACAACUUCUUGUAAUUAACAAAUUACCAGAACUUGAAUUACAGACUCUACUAUUUAUUUUAAUUGAGUAUUAAUUAAAUAAUGGAUAUGCCAUAAAAUUGCAUCAAUUAUAUAUAUUAAGAGAGUGUUUGACACCUAUUUUUAUAGAAAAGUGAAUUUUAGAAUAGUAGAUUGAUGGAGAAUGUGUGGAUGAAAAAUAAGGAUUUUUUUUUAUUUACGUAUAAUGUUAUUUUAAUAAAGAAUAUGUGGUUAAAAAGAAGAGAGAGAAAAAUGUAUUUUGAUAAAAAUAAUAAUUAAACGGGCCUUAAAAGUGUUUGUCUAAAGUUGAUUGGAUUUAAGAGAUAACGCUUACAAAAUUACGCACUAUUUCUUAGUUUAUUUUUGUAUUUAAUCAAUCCAUCAGUCAAAAGGUUCCUUGAUUUUGCCUAUUGCUCUUGCAUUUCGUUACGGGAAUGACCUCUAUCUAUUCUCUACGAGGGAUAGCAACAACUUGUAGGUUCGAGAGAUUCGUCGGUGGAAGAGAAGGGAUGAGAAGUUUAACAUGUUAGUUAAGCUCUACUUAUCUUUUUUAUUAAGAUAAGAUCAAAGCUUAUAAUCUUUUAACAAGAAUUCAAGAGUCUAAUUUUGAGUCGGUAGACCGAGCCUUCUACUUCAAUUAUGGCUUACGUUGUUAUUAUGGAUGAUUUGAUUAUCUUAUAUUGUGAAAAUUGUUGUUGUGUUUCUUGUUUUAUUUCCAUCGUCAAUAAAUCUUGUUACUCUAUUGUAAAAACUCGGGGCUUCAUGUAAUGAUCAUUGUUCUAAAAAGCGUAAUAUAUGGCGAUGCUUGAAGGUCAAGCUUUAGUUGAUGUGCACUUAGACGAGGUUUAAGGGUAAAAAAGCGUAAAAAAAAAAAACGUUUUCUUAUUUUAAUAUUAUUUUAAAUUUUUAAUCAAUUUAAAAAUCAUUUAACAAUACAAUAUAGCACCAAAUGUUUAAAGAACUUAGUAAAAUAAAUAUAUUUUAGAACAAUAAACAAAAUGUAUUAUAAUAAUACUAAUUGAACUAUACAGAGAGUUUUAAACUUUUAUUAAUUAGUAAAAGAUAGAAAAAUGAUUAAUUAACUUAAUAAAAUAUACGUAACUAUUUAUAUAUUAGUACAAUAGGCAACAACCAAACCAAAGAUACAUUAAGUUUACAAUAAAAUUAUUUGAGUUGCACUCUAUAAAUUAAUGGACUAAUAAGUGGGUAAUCAACUUUUCGAACCUUUUAAUUUGUCGGCAGUUGGUUGGACAUUUUAUAAUUAUUAAUUUUUGGGUCUUUCAAUCGAAUUAACAUAAAAGUUGAAAAAUUUAUGUUGUAGUAAAAAAAGAAAUCUAAAAAUAUUAAUAAUGUGCAUCAAGGCGUGCAUAUGGGAGUCUAGGUGCACCUUAAGGCGGUCAAUACUAUUAACGGUUAAGCCCCUGUUUGAUAAAUGGGUGGUUGAAAAAGAAGGAAAAAUUUUCGAUUUACGUGUAAUAUUAUUUUAUGAAAGAUUGUGUGAUUGAAAAUAGGAGAGAGAAAAAUGUAAUGUAAUGUCAGGGGACGGCAGUGCGCGCUAUUCAGGCUCUGGUGAUGACAAAGAUAAAGAAAGAUGGCGAAUCUUGCUCGAUAAGAAAACUUGAACUUGUUCUAGACGUGACUAUUUUAUUGUUGAUAUAACUAUGUUUAUACUAUAUUUAAGAAGGGAAAAAAAAUAUAUAAUUAUGAAUAAUAUUUCAACGCGUUAAUGCGUUUGACUGGAAAAAUGAAUGGAAAUUUUAUUACGUACAGUAUCUGAUGCAAGAGGUACAUCCAUAAUUUUCAUUUUCUAUAAUUAAUCAGCGGCAGCCCAUGCGGCAUAUGCUGCCGUGUGCAUCACCGCCUUUAUUUAGAGCCACCCACAUCGCCUCUUACUUGUACUUCGUUCUGCAACCAGAAUUAUUCUGCGGUUUCCCUUUCAGAUACGCCAUAUUAUCUGAACAUAUUAUAUAAAACCUAUUUGUAUAUAUUCAUAUUUUCAUAGUUUAGGUUUUUAAUUUCUUUUUAGAUUAGAAGAAAAUCGUCAUGUCUUCAGCAGAUGAAGUAGUGGAUCUUCAGGGUCUCUCAAUCCAAGAAGAGGUUCGAAUUUUUCGACCUAAUUUUUUAUGGGCAUUCCAAGAAAUGAUUUAACUGAAAGCUGGAAUUUUUGUUCUGCGGGUUUAAUUUGGUUUCACGAUGUAGUUUUUCUUGUUUUAGAUCGUUUGAAUGAAAAUAAUGAGUUUUUUUAUGCGGUUUUGAUCUGAUUGGAUCUUUUUUUGCUUUAAAUCGUUAAAAUUAGUUAGAAAGAUCAAUUUCUUUGUAUCAGAGGUGAAAGAGAAUAUAUAAAGAUUUGGUUUCAAUACUGUUGUUGUCCAGUUGAAUUUUCUUUUGGAGUUUUUGUUUACUGGUUUUCUAAAAAUCUGUCUUGAUUUUGCUUAAUAUUUCAACACAUUUUCGUUGGAAAAUAUUUGCUUAGAUAUAAUCUAUUAAUCAUAAAUGGUAAGAUAUUUAUUACCUUGGGAUGUGAAUCUAUUGUCGGUGUUAGUAUUUUUCGAUCUUUAGAUGCUUUCGUUUGUUAAUUUGUUUUUCACCAUUCAUAUGUUUGGGGGUCUUUAGUUCAACCUAAAAGAAUUAUGUUUGCCUUUUCUGAAUAGAUAUUUGGAUUCGUUUUGUACAUUGACUGGUUUAAAGUUGUGAAUUUCAGUGUAAAAUGGAGGGAACUUGUACAGCAGCACCAGAGGACAUUAACCAAGUUGCGGCUGAGACUAACAAUACUAACAACACUAAUCAUCAUGGUUUUUGUGCAAUAUGUUUGAAUAAGAUAGUUCUUGCAGAAACUGCUCUCGUAAAAGGUUGCGAGCAUGCCUACUGGUUUGUCUGAAUCUCGUAGUUAGAUAUUUACUUGUAUUUUUUGUUGCUUUUAUUGUUUGCAUGAAUCAUUAUGAAAUUAUUGCCAUAUACAGUAUAACUGGGCCUAUAGAGUAUGACAAGUGUAAUUCCCCUUGCCUCUGGAUGACAUCUUGGAGAAUAUUUGAAGUUUAUAUUUGAGAUAGUUACUUGAUAUGAAACUUAAGGUGUGUGGUGCACAAAUUAAUAAAAGCUCGGUUUGAAGGUCAUUAUUUGGGAAAACAAUAUCUUGAAUAGUGAUUUUUAGUAUAUGCAGAAUAUUUUAUCGUGUGAAUGCGUGGUUAAAAAUGAGUAGGUAGAAAAAAGAGUUUUCAAAUAAUGGUUGUCUAAUUGGGGCAAAAUAUAACUUGGUGAUGUAUUUGUAAAAUAAAGACAACUAUGAGCUACCAGGCUUCACAUCUUAAUAAAUGUCUUAUCUAAAAGCAUUUUUGGGGUAUUGCUUUAGGCAUUGUAAGAGAAGUAAAAUGGUAGAGAAGUUUUAUUCUGAAUUAAGUAUUAGGUUUUGGAUUCUUUUGGGGGAAGGUAAAAGAAAAUGCAUCAGGAAUUGGGUCAAUACUAAACUCCCACCUAUUUUGAUAGCAGUUGUAUAUUAUUAAAUAUACUAAUCAUAGUUGAACGUGCAACUGAAAUGCUUUAUAAGUGCUAUAAAAAUAAUAUUUGAAGAUGUGAGGAUAUAAAAAAUAAUUAAUCCAAAUUGCUUAUCUGGAAUGAGCUUUUGAUUCAAAGAAAAUAAAAAUCAGUUUGUGAAAACAAUUUAAAUAGGUGACGAAAUCUAUUAUAAUAACCCAUUUAUCAUUUUUGAUUUGAACCGAGUAUUCAGCGAAUGUCAUCCUUUCUUCAUAUUAGCUUAAUAUGCAUUGAAUAUAUCAAUUGAAAUAUUUAUUAUAGAUACGCAUUAUGUCUCCCCAUUUUCCUUCUCUAUAUCUUAACAUUUAUUAAAUAAAUCAAUUGAAAGAAGACUCUAAAAAUAUUCAUCUUUUGUUCCAAAAAAUGUUAAUGAAUUUUAUUUAUUAUUCAAUCAUGUGGAAUGAAUCUGUCGAAUGUAAAAUUGAUCAUCACUAAAUAAGUGACAAAAUAAUUUAUGAUUAUAUUGUUUAAAUGAUUAAGUAAAUCAAAUACAUAUUGAAAACAAAAAGGUAAUGAAUCUAUCAAAUAUGGUUAAAUAAAGUUAAAUAAAUUAAUUACAUAUUGAAAAAUGAAAAGUAAGAUAAUGAUUGUGUCAAAUGUACAUUCAUCAUAUCUAAAUCGUUGACAAAAGAAUUAAUGAUAAUAUUAUUCAAAUGGUUCAAAUGAUUAAUAAAUUAAAUACAUAUUGAAAGACAAAAUAUAGGGUAUUAUUGAAUUAAUUAAAUACAUAUUGAAAAACAAAAAGUUUGAUAUUAUUGAAAUAAUUAAAUUAUUUUAAGGAUAGAAUCGUCCAAAAUAUAUUCUCACUGGAUGUGAUAUUUAAUAUAUUAUAUAGAUUAACCUUAGUAACUAGAUCACGUCCUUCAUUACGAGCAUGCAUACUUGCUUCUGGAGCGAUUCAUUUUGCUGAGGCACUUGGUGCAUUAGCCUGGCUCAUGCUAUUCACAUAAUCUAGCUAUGAAUGGGUAAUAAUAACCGUGCAACCAUAAUCUUCACGUGAAGGUGCAAAACUUUAUUAUAAUAUGAUUUCAACGAUGGGAUUUAGAAGAUCAGCUCAAUGCAUAGUUCUAGAAUUUCUUAGCCCAUUUGACAACCAUUCUUUGAAAACUCUUUUUUCUAUGUACUUUUUUUUGUAUAGGUAUGCAAUUAUUUGUGCAUCACUUCAUUAUAAGUGCAGUGUGAUCUAGCCCUUGUUUGAGCUACAUUAUUUUCAUACGAAUGCAUUUUUGAAUAGUGUAUUGAUGGUAAAUGUGAUUAAAAAAUAAGGAAAAAUUUUGAAUUUGCGUGUAAUAUUAUUUUAUUGAAGAAUGUGUGGUUGAAAUGAUAUCAAAUAACUAUUUAAGAAUGUAUAUAUAUAUAUUUUGAAGAAUGUGGGUCAAACAUGGUCCUAAUAAUAUUUUCGGAUCCGGCUAUUGUAGUAGCGAGUGUUUUGCUUAUAGCUUAUGGCCUAAUCUAGUAUUAGCUGGACAUGAUUUCUUUUGGACGACAUUUUUCAAUAAAAUAAUAUUGUAGUAGCUGGACAUGAUUUCUUUUGGAAAUUCGCUAUUGUAGUAGCUAGUGUUUUGCUUAUAGUUUAUGGCCUAAUCUAGUAUGAACUGGACAUGAUUUCUUUUAGACGAGCAUUUGCAAGAUAUUGGAGAAAAAUGAGCAGUUGCGUUAUCACGACGUUUGGUACUCCCUUGAAGUCGCUCCAAUCUCGUCUUUUAUUAUUUUCUAAAUACAAAUUGAGUAUUUUGCAUAACUCUAUUUAGUGAAGGCUAUAUAUAUAUAUAGCGUGCGCGCGGUACAUUUCGGUUAAGGUCCAUACUUAGCUGCGUACAAGAGUCUAUCAUGAUACUAUAUGCUUGUUCAUAUUUUGGAAUUUGUUGUCUAUCGAAACAAUUCCUUGAUUAGUAUCACCUUUUACAUGUUUAACUUCGAUUUUAUUGUGUAAAAUUGGUAUGAUUUGUUUUUUCUUUCUGUGUGCACGUUCUUGUUUUUGGGCGUUGUGAGGUGGAUCAUUAUAUUUUAGAUUAUAAAUAUGGGCGGACCUACUUGACGACCAGCCGGGUUGGUCAUCCUCACUGCAUUUUCAGAUUUUCAGUUUUUCUCCAAGUUUUUUUAGGUUUUCAGAUAUUUUCUCAAGGUUUUUUAGCUUCGCCCCCACUAAACUUUCAUCAUGGGUCCACCCUUGCUUAUAAACAGGGAACACUGCUGGAGAUGAUUAACUUUUGAGUUGUCUUUCAUUCAUAACUGUAAAAACGUUUGUUAUGUAAAACCCGACUUCACUGCUUAAUCUGUUGUGUUACGGAUCAUUUUAUGCACCGUUUUCCCGGUCUUGAUGUAUGUGGAAAUAAUCUUGUACAAACAUUUGGCAGCAAUAGGUACUUAAUCUGUACAGUUUCUUCGUGCGAAUCAUGAUUUCGUAUGGUUAUUAUAUCUACUGGAAUCGAGAUUAGGUCGUAACUGCUAACAUUAUGAUGACAUGUACACGUAUUACACAAGAUUUUAUGUGCACCGUUGUGCUGUGUUAAUGACAAGGGUUUUGCAUGAAAUGAGUUUAAUUGCAUAUAGAAACUGGCAAGAGAAUUUAGUCUCUCCUCUUUAGCUCCCAUUCCGGAUUUACACAGCACAUAUUCUUUUUUUAAAGCACUGAACUUCUUAUGUAAGUAAUGAACAAUUUCUUAGACGUCGACUUAUCAUGGUGACUUCCUUAUCGAGGCUGACCGGAUGGAACUAGCCGAGAGGAGGAGGAAUAAGGAGGUUGUUCAGGGCACUCAUGUUAUCAAUGCUGUAUAGUGUUUCGGGUGUUGCGGACAGCUUAAUGUGGCAUAUUGUGAGGAUCCUAUUCUCGAAUGUGGGCUCGACAGACCUACUUGAGUGUGGCUUUCUUGUGAGUGAGUUCAUAGGUGCCUUUAAGUUGAGUGUAGCGAAGGGAUUCUAUCGCUUCUUAGAGUUGAAGGAACACGAGGCUAGACGAACUAGCUACUUUGGUUUACCUUUGCCAAUUAUAUAAUCUAUUAUCUAGAAAUCAGUAAGUAGUAGCCUCGAUUUGAGAUCUAAUUAGAUACGGGAUUGACGACUAGAAUUGAACAAAUUGCUUUAGCUGUUAAGGGAAGGAAUUUUUAAAACGUUACGGCAGCCAGCAGUACUGAAUAAAAACUUGUUCUUUGAGUUUAAGAAGCACAGGUUACUCAAAUUGAUCAACUUGUUCUCUCCAAGUAGUGCUAUACUUGUCAAUUGGCCUUGCAAUGCUAUGCUUCCUCGGCGCAGCUUCGUGUUUGCGGUGUUUUUACCGAUGUACAAGCUUGAUUCAUAUAUCUAAGGGAAAAUUUCAUAAGUGAGAGAUUAAUUAUGCUACAUUUUAAAAACAAGAAAACAAGUUUCAAAUUUCAAAAAUCAGAUUUUUAUUAAAAAAUCAUUUAUAGUUUAAUUAAUUAAUUUUAGUAAUUAAAUAUAUUUAAGUCACGUAUUUAUAUAAUUUGGUCACAAAUUGAUGAUUUAAUUCGUCGCUUAUUAUUUUUUGGUCACAAAUCAGAAAUUUUAUGUCACAAAUUAUUUUACGGUCACAAUUGAAAAAUUUUAUAGGUCACAGUUUGUUUAUCGGUCACAAAUCGAAAAAUUUAUAAGUCACAAUUUAUUUAUUGGUCACAAAUUACAAAUAUUACAAGUCACAGCUUAUUAUACAGUCACAAAUUAUCAAAUUAUUGGUCACAGAUUAACAAUAGUUUAGGUCACACAUUAUUUUUUUGUCACAAUUUAUCUUUUUCAUUGAUCACAUAUUAGUUAAAUAUAUUUAAGUCACAUAUUUAUUUAAUUUGGUCACAAAUUGAUGAUUUAGUCCCCCACUUAUUAUUUUUUGAUCACAAAUCAAAAAUUUUAUAUCACAAAUUAUUUUACGGUCACAAUUCAAAAAUUUUAUAAGUCACAGUUUGUUCAUCGGUCACAAAUCGAAAAAUUUAUAAGUCACGAUUUAUUUGUUGGUCACAAAUUAUAAAUAUUACAAAUCACAACUUAUUAUACAGUCACAAAUUAUCGGUCACAGAUUAACAAUUUUUUAGGUCACACAUUAUUUUUCGAUCACAAUUUAUUUUUUUUCAUUUGUCACAUAUUAUUUAUUGGUCACAGAUUAACCAAUUUAAUGGUCACAAUCAACCAAAUAAUUUAUGACCACCACCAAUACUGAUGAAAACCUCCGCAUUCGACACCACCACCACUGUUGCUGCCAGAUUAUUGCCACCACCUAAGAGCAACACUGAAAAACAAAUCGCCAAAACCACCAACACAGAUCCAUCGAACUGCAACCGCCAUCAACCAUUUGUGAUCCCCGUUGUGAUCUGUAACCCCCACCGUACCCGCAAUCGCCAUCAACCACUGCACCUGGCUAGAUCCACCAUCGCAGCCCACCGUCACAUACCACCUAUCGCUAGAGUCAUCGUCCAACAGCCAUUAGCAAAAAAUAAAAAAUAAAAAAACCAUCGCAG